Molecule: signal recognition particle RNA, 99 nt
Filed under: Clostridiaceae bacterium
Lineage: Bacteria; Bacillati; Bacillota; Clostridia; Eubacteriales; Clostridiaceae
Description: signal recognition particle sRNA small type
Rfam family: Bacterial small signal recognition particle RNA
About the family: The signal recognition particle (SRP) is a universally conserved ribonucleoprotein involved in the co-translational targeting of proteins to membranes. Archaeal SRP consists of a 7S RNA and homologues of the eukaryotic SRP19 and SRP54 proteins.
Source: RNAcentral
GUGUUGGUCCUGUGCGACAGAGCUCUGUGAAUCAUGUCAGGCGGGGAACCGAGCAGCAUUAAGCGGUCAGCCUGUGCGAUACAGUCAAGCCUGCACGGU